RNA transcript from Cebus imitator (Panamanian white-faced capuchin), 4378 nucleotides. It is a transcript of the gene named ribosome biogenesis protein BMS1 homolog, with no coding region annotated. Lineage: Eukaryota; Metazoa; Chordata; Mammalia; Primates; Cebidae. The record is from RefSeq and is a predicted model, not a curated record. The transcript has 22 exons.
CAGCUGUUCACAACUCGUUCUUCCGGCUCUCCACUGAAAGUCGUCCCCCUGCCGGUUUCUUUUUUCUGCCUUCUUGUUUCCCUCCGGCGAGUCAGCGCGAUGGUGAAUUUCCGUUUCCAGUGGUUUCCUUGCGGACUUUAGGGAGUUGAGAUUGUGAUUUGAUUCAGUGCGUGGCUGUGGUUAGAGUUACUUGUUAUUGGUAAAUAGCCACUAUGGAGGAUAAGGAACAGAAGGAACACAGAAAGAAAAACAGUGGGCCCAAAAUUGAAAAGAAAAAGAAGCGGCAUCUGCAGGAUCUCCAGCUAGGAGACAAAGAAGAUUCCCAGAAGAGAAAUCCCAAAGCUUUUGCAGUUCAGUCUGCUGUGUGGAUGGCUCGACCCUUUCACAGAACUCAGGAUUUGAAGACAAAGAAGCAUCAUAUUCCAGUGGUUGAUCGAACUCCACUAGAGCCCCCACCAAUAGUGGUGGUGGUGAUGGGGCCUCCAAAAAGUUGGAAAGAAAACUUUGAUACAAUGCCUCAUUCGGAACUUCACCUGGCAGAAUUUGACGGAGAUCAGAGGCCCAGUGACAAUCAUGUCAGGUAGGAGAUGCUGCCACAGACACAGUUGGUGUGGCUGUUGUCAUCUAAGGAACAUGCAUGUGUUUGUUGUUUUCUUGUGGAACAUAUUAAAGAUUGUACUGAUGCUUAUAGAUGCCAGCUUUGGGUUUGAAAUGGAAACGUUUGAGUUUCUAAACAUCUGUCAAGUACAUGGCUUCCCUAAAAUUAUGGGAGUUCUCACCCACCCGGACUCCUUCAAGCAUAAUAAGCAACUGAAGAAGACAAAGAAGCAAUUAAAACACAGGUUCUGGAGAGAAGUUUACCUAGGUGCAAAGCUCUUCUACCUUUCUGGAAUGGCGCAUAGAGAAUAUCAAAACCAAGAAAUCCACAACAUGGGCCGUUUUAUUACAGUUACGAAGUUUAGGCCUCUCACAUGGAAAACUCACCCUUAUAUCCUGACAGACAGGAUGGAAGAUUUGACAAACACAGAGGAUAUCCGAACAAACAUCAAAUGUGACCGGAAGGUGUCACUUUAUGGUUAAGAGGAGCGCACUUGAAAAAUAAAAGCCAGAUUCACAUGCCAGGUGUAGGAGAUUUCACCAUGAGUGACGUAUUUCCUCCCAGACCCUUGUGCUCUUCCUGAACAACAGAAGUGCUGUUUAAAUGAGAAGAAGCAGCUGGUUUAUGCACCUCUUUCUGGAGUUGGGGGUGUGCUGUGCGAUAAAGAUGCUGUCUAUGUUGACCUUGGUGGCAGCCACGAUUUUCAGGCAUUGGACGAAGUGGGGUCCACCCAUGAGCUGGUCCAGAGUCUCAUCUCCACCCAUUCCACCAUUGAUGCCAAGAUGGCUUCAAGUCGAGUGAUGUUGUUUUCUGAUUCCAAGGCACUUGGGUUGGAGGAUAUAGAUAGUCAAGGGGUGUUGAUGCCAAAGGAGGAAAAACAAACGGACUUGAAAAUUGGUCGAAUGUGUUGGAAAGCCACUUUUGGUGAGGAAGAUGGAUCUGGAGAUAGUGACGAUGAAGAUGAUGAUGAAAUGUCUGAAGAUGACAGGUUGGAAAAUGGCUCUAGUGAUGAGGAAGCAGACAAGGAGGAAAAUGCUGAGGUGACUGAUGAGUGUAUGACUGCUAAGGGCAUCAAACGAUGGAAACUUGAGGAGUUAGAAGAAGACAGUGAAGUAGAUUUGCCAGCAUUUGCUGACAGUGAUGAUGACCUUGAGAGGAGCUCAGCAGAAGAAGGGGAAGCGGAGGAAGCUGAUGAAAGCAUUGUGGAAGAGGACUGCACUGCAGGAAAGAGGGGCAUUUCAGGAUCAAAGGCUGUUGGAGAAGCUAGUAAAACAGAGCUGUCGCCAGCUAAUCACCAGAGUGACCAUGUGAAUCUGGAGAAGUCUUUGCUGAUGAAGAAAGCAGCCCUCACCAUUUCUGAUUCUGGGCAUUGCACAGCUGAAGAGGUGUUUGCAUCUGAAGAUGAAUCUGAAGAAAGCUCCUCGCUCAGUACAGAGGAAGAGGACUCAGAAAAUCAAGAAGCUCUUAGGAAAAAGCUUUCAAGGCCUUCUCAGGUGGGCAGUGGUCAGAAACUGGGGUCAAGGAACUUAAUUGAUGAGACCAGUGAUACAGAGAUUUACUCAAAGAGGAAGAAGAUUUCAAUGAAGAGAAGAAGAAUACCACAGAAACCUCAGGUGCCCUCAAGUGGAAGGAAGACCUUUCCAGAAAGGCAGCUGAGGCAUUUCUGAGGCAGCAGCAAGCAGCUCCAAACCUCAAAAAGCUUAUUUAUGGGACAGGUAAAGAAUUCUGAGAUAAUGAAGAAGAUGAUGAUACUCAAGAAGAGUUUGGAGGGUUAUUUUGUGUCACCCAGCCUGACAGAGAGUGUAAACACAAGGCCGACUCUUUGGACUGCUCCAGAUUUCUUGUGGAGGCGCCCCAUGACUGAAAUUUAGAGGAGGUCAUGAACAGCAUCAGAGAUUGCUUCGUGACUGGAAAGUGGGAAGACGAUAAAGAUGCAGCCAAGAUCUUAGCAGAAGAUGAGGAGCUCUAUGGUGACUUUGAAGACGUGGAAACAGGGUAUGUGCACAAGGGGAAAUCAGGCCCCAUUACUCAGAAUGAAGAUGUAGAGAAAGAAGUUAAGGAAGAAAUUGACCCCAAUGAAGAGGAAAGUGCCAAGAAAAAGCAUUUGGAUAAGAAGAGAAAAUUGAAGGAGAUGUUUGAUGCAGAAUAUGAUGAAGGAGAAAGCACAUAUUUUGAUGAUCUCAAAGGAGAAAUGCAGAAACAAGCAGAGCUGAACUGUGCAGAAUUUGAGGAUCAAGAUGAUGAAGCCAGAGUUCAGUAUGAGGGUUUUUGACCUGGUAUGUACGUCUGCAUUGAGAUUGAAAAUGUUCCCUGCAAAUUUGUGCAGAACUUUGACCCCCAUUACCCCAUUAUCCUGGGUGGCUUGGGCAACAGUGAGGGCAAUGUUGGAUACGUGCAGAUGCAUCUGAAGAAACAUCGCUGGUAUAAGAAAAUCCUCAAGUUCCAAGAUCCAGUCAUAUUUUCUGUAGGGUGGAGGAGCUUUCAGACCAUCCCACUCUGUUAUAUCGAAGACCACAAUGGAAGACAAAGGCUUCUAAAGUACACGACACAGUACAUGCAUUGCAGAGCAACCUUUUUAGGCCCUGUCACUCCACAGGGAACUGGUUUCUUGGCAGUGCAGUCUGUCAGUGGCAUAAUGCCUGAUUUCCGGAUAACUGCCGCAGGAGUUGUCCUUGAUCUGGAUAAAUCCAUAAAAAUUGUGAAGAAAUUAAAGCUAACUGGUUUUCCAUAUAAAAUUUUCAAGAACACUUCAUUUAUUAAGGGAAUGUUUAAUUCUGCCUUGGAAGUGGCCUAAUUUGAAGGUGCUAUGAUUCGAACUGUCAAUGGGAUAAGGGGGCAGAUCAAGAAAGCGCUCCGGGCUCCAGAAGGAGCUUUCCGGGCCAGCUUUGAGGAUAAGCUGCUGAUGAGCGCUAUUGUCUUCAUGCGAACUUGGUAUCCAGUUUCAAUCCCAGCCUCCUAUAACCCAGUAACAUCUUUGUUGAAACCAGUGGGUGAAAAAGACACCUGUUCAGGAAUGCGGACCACAGGUCAACUCAGGCUCGCCCAUGGCAUCAGACUAAAGGCACACAAGGACUCUCUGUAUAAGCCAAUCCUGAGGCAAAAGAAACAUUUUAAUUCACUGCACAUUCCAAAAGCCUUGCUGAAGGCCCUGCCAUUUAAGAACAAGCCCAAGACCCAAGCAAAGGCAGGCAAGGUGCCGAAGGACAGGCGGAGACCAGCCGUCAUACGCGAGCCUCAUGAAAGAAAGAUCCUCACGCUGCUGGAUGCUCUGAGUACCGUGCAUAGUCAGAAGAUGAAGAAGGUCAAGGAGCAGCAGCACCUACACAAUAAAGAGCACUUCAGAGCCAAGCAGAAGGAGGAAGAGGAGAAGCUGAAGUGGCAGAAGGACCUCAGGAAGAAGCUCUUCCGAAUUCAGGGGCAGAAGGAAAGAAGAAACCAGAAGUCUAGUUUGAAGGGGGCUGAGGGGCAACUGCAGUGAGCCUUUGGACUGGGUGGAUCUGCGGAGGUAGACAGUUUCAAACAUCACAGUUGGAAUGCUUAUGAAUGACAAGUCGGGGCAAGAGCCCAAGAGAUGUCUUUACCCAGGCUAUGCCUGUGAGAGGAGGAACAGAGAAGCCUGGGCUGCUGGGACCCGCGUUCAUUCUCAGCACCUGGGGCUGUCAAGAUUUAAAGUGCUAUAGCUGUGGUUGUGUGGAUUCUCCUACUUCCCUCUGCCUGCCUCAGUUUAGUUAUUUGUGCUAUAAAAAUAUCAUUAAAAUAUUUUUUUUUUGUUAGUUGUGA